This 468-nucleotide ribosomal RNA is filed under the name uncultured bacterium. RNAcentral describes it as "partial 16S ribosomal RNA". It matches the Rfam family "Bacterial small subunit ribosomal RNA", at positions 28 to 507 of the family's 1533-position model. The record is from RNAcentral.
GACGAACGCUGGCGGCGGGCUUGACACAUGCAAGUCGAACGGAAAGGGCCAGCUGUUUGCUUGUUCUCUAGUGGCGAGCGGGUGGGUAACACGUGAGUGGCCUGCCGUUGGCUGGGGGGUAACUUCAGGAAACUAGGGUUAAUACCGGAGAGUAGCUCCGGCUGCAUGAUGAGGGGGGGAAAGGGGAGGCGGGUGGUGAUGGACUCGCGGCUGAGCAGCUUGUUGGUGGGGGAGUGGCUUACCAAGGCUUUGACGGGUAGCCGGCCUGAGAGGGUGAACGGCGUCAUUGGGACUGCGGUACGGAGCAGACUCGUACGGGGGACAGCAGUGGGGAAUCUUGUACAAUGGGCGGGCGUCUAAUGCAGAAACGUCCGGUUCGGGAUGUCGGCCUUGCGGUUGUAAACCGAUUUAGCCUGUGACGAAGCCUCAGUGACGGUAAUGGGAAAAGAAGCACCGGCUAACUCCGUG